Long non-coding RNA from Nematostella vectensis (starlet sea anemone), 446 nucleotides. RefSeq lists it as uncharacterized. Lineage: Eukaryota; Metazoa; Cnidaria; Anthozoa; Actiniaria; Edwardsiidae. The transcript has 2 exons. The record is from RefSeq and is a predicted model, not a curated record.
CCGUCACCGCGUUGUUCGCAAAAUUCGUACAUGAAAGCUUUUUCUGAAGCGGAAGCUACUUCUUUAGGGAAAGAAAAACGGGGAACCGAUGGAGACCCGAAUUAAAGUUCAAGAGGUCUGUUUCGUGGUUGCCCACUCAUCACGCUACGCUACGAUCCCAACACCGUAACCAACCGAAAAACCCGCAAACGCAACAACAUCCUAUGGUACAACCCGCCCUUCAGCAAGAACACCAGCACCAACAUCGGCCACAGAUUCCUCACCCUGAUAGACAAGCACUUCCCGAAAGACAACCACCUCCGUAAAAUCUUCAACAGAAACACCAUCAAAAUCAGUUACAGCUGCAUGAACAACACCAAACAGAUCAUCGACAACCACAACAAGCGCAUCAUCACCGCAUCGUCGGCCACCGAGAUCGCCAACUCCGCCCCUACCACUACCAACAA